This 253-nucleotide ribosomal RNA is filed under the name uncultured bacterium. Its description in RNAcentral is "partial 16S ribosomal RNA". It matches the Rfam family "Bacterial small subunit ribosomal RNA", at positions 524 to 776 of the family's 1533-position model. The record is from RNAcentral.
UACGUAGGGUGCAAGCGUUGUCCGGAAUUAUUGGGCGUAAAGAGCUCGUAGGCGGUUUGUCGCGUCUGCUGUGAAAACCCGAGGCUCAACCUCGGGCCUGCAGUGGGUACGGGCAGACUAGAGUGCGGUAGGGGAGAUUGGAAUUCCUGGUGUAGCGGUGGAAUGCGCAGAUAUCAGGAGGAACACCGGUGGCGAAGGCGGGUCUCUGGGCCAUUACUGACGCUGAGGAGCGAAAGCGUGGGGAGCGAGCAGG